Molecule: ribosomal RNA, 253 nt
Filed under: uncultured bacterium
Lineage: Bacteria
Description: partial 16S ribosomal RNA
Rfam family: Bacterial small subunit ribosomal RNA
Source: RNAcentral
UACGUAGGGGACAAGCGUUGUCCGGAUUUACUGGGCGUAAAGAGCGCGCAGGCGGUCGUUCAAGUCGAGUGUGAAAGCCCCCGGCUCAACUGGGGAGGGUCAUUCGAUACUGAUCGACUUGAAGGCAGGAGAGGGAAGUGGAAUUCCCGGUGUAGUGGUGAAAUGCGUAGAUAUCAGGAGGAACACCGGUGGCGAAGGCGGCUACCUGGACAGAAACUGACGCUGAGGCGCGAAAGCUAGGGGAGCAAACAGG